GAACGCUGGCGGCAUGCUUUACACAUGCAAGUCGGACGGCAGCGGGGUAGUGCUUGCACUACUGCCGGCGAGUGGCGAACGGGUGAGUAAUAUAUUGGAACGUACCGAGUAAUGGGGGAUAACCAAUCGAAAGAUUGGCUAAUACCGCAUACGCUCUGAGGAGGAAAGCAGGGGACCUUCGGGCCUUGCGUUAUUCGAGCGGCCAAUAUCUGAUUAGCUAGUUGGUGGGGUAAAGGCCUACCAAGGCGACGAUCAGUAGCGGGUCUGAGAGGAUGAUCCGCCACACUGGGACUGAGACACGGCCCAGACUCCUACGGGAGGCAGCAGUGGGGAAUUUUGGACAAUGGGCGCAAGCCUGAUCCAGCCAUGCCGCGUGUCUGAAGAAGGCCUUCGGGUUGUAAAGGACUUUUGUUAGGGAAGAAAAAGGAGCGGUUAAUACCCGUUUCUGCUGACGGUACCUAAAGAAUAAGCACCGGCUAACUACGUGCCAGCAGCCGCGGUAAUACGUAGGGUGCGAGCGUUAAUCGGAAUUACUGGGCGUAAAGCGAGCGCAGACGGUUACUUAAGCAGGAUGUGAAAUCCCCGGGCUCAACCUGGGAACUGCGUUCUGAACUGGGUAG
This 620-nucleotide ribosomal RNA is filed under the name Neisseria elongata. RNAcentral describes it as "bacterial SSU rRNA". It matches the Rfam family "Bacterial small subunit ribosomal RNA", at positions 31 to 640 of the family's 1533-position model. Lineage: Bacteria; Pseudomonadati; Pseudomonadota; Betaproteobacteria; Neisseriales; Neisseriaceae. The record is from RNAcentral.